Molecule: ribosomal RNA, 555 nt
Filed under: Triticum aestivum (bread wheat)
Lineage: Eukaryota; Viridiplantae; Streptophyta; Magnoliopsida; Poales; Poaceae
Description: partial small subunit ribosomal RNA
Source: RNAcentral
ACCAUUGAACUGAAUGACUCCUUUGAUGAGACCAGCAUGCGUUUUGUGCGGCGCAUCCAGGAGUCUGAGGUGAAGGAGGCUUUAAAAAGGAUGAAAGGAGGCAAGGCGAUGGGCCCUGAUUGUAUCCCCAUUGAGGUGUGGAAAGGUCUCGGGGACAUAGCGAUAGUAUGGCUAACCAAGCUUUUCAACCUCAUUUUUUGGGCAAACAAGAUGCCAGAAGAAUGGAGACGGAGUAUAUUAGUACCAAUCUUCAAGAACAAGGGGGAUGUUCAGAGUUGUACUAAUUACCGUGGAAUUAAGCUGAUGAGCCAUACAAUGAAGCUAUGGGAGAGAGCCAUUGAGCACCGCUUAAGAAGAAUGACAAGCGUGACCAAAAAUCAGUUUGGUUUCAUGCCUGGGAGGUCGACCAUGGAAGCCAUUUUCUUGGUACGACAACUUAUGGAGAGAUAUAGGGAGCAUAAGAAGGAGUUGCAUAUGGUGUUCAUUGACUUGGAGAAGGCCUAUGAUAAGAUACCGCGGAAUGUCAUGUGGUGGGCCUUGGAGAAACACAAAGUC